Molecule: ribosomal RNA, 468 nt
Filed under: uncultured bacterium
Lineage: Bacteria
Description: partial 16S ribosomal RNA
Rfam family: Bacterial small subunit ribosomal RNA
Source: RNAcentral
GACGAACGCUGGCGGCGUGCUUAACACAUGCAAGUCGAACGGAAAGGCCCUGCUUUUGUGGGAUGCUCGAAUGGCGAACGGGUGGGUAACACGUGAGUAACCUGCCCUUGACUUUGGGAUAACUUCAGGAAACUGGGGCUAAUACCGGAUAGGAGCUCCUGCUGCCUGGUGGGGGUUGGAAAGUUUCGGCGGUUGGGGAUGGACUCGCGGCUUAUCAGCUUGUUUGUGGGGUAGUGGCUUACCAAGGCUGUGACGGGUAGCCGGCCUGAGAGGGUGACCGGGGACAUUGGGACUGAGAUACGGCCCAGACUCCUACGGGAGGCAGCAGUGGGGAAUAUGGCAGAAUGGGCGGGAGCCUGAUGCAGCAACGCCGCGUGCGGGAUGCCGGCCUUCGGGUUGAAAACCGCUUUCGCCGGUGACGAAGCGAGAGUGACGGUAAUGGGUAAAGAAGCACCGGCUAACUACGUG